Molecule: long non-coding RNA, 996 nt
Organism: Cucumis melo (muskmelon)
Lineage: Eukaryota; Viridiplantae; Streptophyta; Magnoliopsida; Cucurbitales; Cucurbitaceae
Exons: 7
Source: RefSeq, a predicted model, not a curated record
UUUCAAAUUUAUUUCACUCUUUUUAUCUCCCUCUUUCUCUCCACGAAAAUCCUUUAAUUUGCAUAUCCCCACCCUUCAUCCGCGUCUGACUUUUCGUCGACUUCUACAGUCUCCCAUCCGCAUUUAGGACGGUGAUGGCGACCCACAACGAUUUGGUUAUGUAAAUCAAAAUAUCAGAUUUUCCAAACCAUUUCUUCUUUGGAACUUCCACAUCCUCUUUCCAGGGGGUUAUGUUGAAGAUGGAAGGGGAAAGGGUAAUUGAGAUGUUUUUUUUCUUCUCAUAUUCCAGAAAAAAAUAAGAACAAUAUGACACCGGAGAUGUGGUCGACAAUCCCUACCACCCAUGGGACUGAGAAUCUUAGAAAAGAAUUGAAGUGUAUGGGCGCACCAACAUUUCUAAGUGUUGACUUCCUCCUUUCAUUAUGUUUCAGUAUGUUACUUAAGGAGGUGGCUGCAUCUAUUGCGAAUAAGCUGGAGAAGGUCUAUUAUAAAUAGUGGUGGGGAUGAAGUGAGGAGAUUUGCACUUAAAGAAGCAAAACAAUCAAAGGAUGGAGGGACAAGGAAAUUGAAUCUUCCAAAUCUGAAGUUAUGGUUAUAUUCAUUGCAGCCUUAUGAUGUCUAGAAUAUUAAACCUAUUUAUCUUUUAUAGAUUUAAAGUAAUGCUAUCUCUUAUUUCUAACUUGAAUUAGAAAGCAAAAGAAGAGACUACAAGUGUUGUUUAACACCUUGAUGUGGAACCCUUCGAUCUAUGAUGCAAGGAAUGAUUUUGACUCAAGAAGAAAUGGAAGAAGUUGUUCUUAAAAGAUGUUGGCUUGCUUGCUACUGGGACCUAGCUGCAAAAUAUGCAAAAACAAAAUAUUGUUUGUAGAAUGAUUGAAGUCAUAUCGGGUUGAAAGCUAAGCGAUUGUGUAGAUAGCCAGAUGAUCGGGUAGAAAGAUAAGUGAUCAUUGAAGGUUGAAGACUUCGAAGACAUUUAUGAUUUCUUAUUUAAGUCUU